Equus quagga is the source of this 529-nucleotide long non-coding RNA. RefSeq lists it as uncharacterized. The record is from RefSeq and is a predicted model, not a curated record. NCBI's taxonomy places the organism in Eukaryota, Metazoa, Chordata, Mammalia, Perissodactyla, Equidae. The transcript has 2 exons.
GGAGCGGGAAGUGAGGCCAUUCCCACCUGAGCGGUGUGCCUGAGGGAGAGGGGUUGCGUAACGGACAGCGUCUCAUGCACAAAAGUCAAUAGUUGUGUUGUAAUCAGGAUCACAGCACGUGAGGUUCCAGAAUCAAAUGUUGUGCAAGCACCUAGGAGCCUUGUAAAUAGAGGCUCCUUCCACCUGCAGCAGCCUCGCUGGGUCCCAGUCUCGGAGCAGCUCCUCAUCUUCUCCUGCUGUUCAGGGUCCAGCCGGCAUUCACCAUGCGGUGUCUCUGCUUCGUGCUCCUGACCUGCUUCAUCCUCUUUCCUCACUUUGGCCCAGCCUCCACCCAGCGCAUAGACUCAGAAGAGGAGUGCGAGCGGGUUGGUGCCCAGUGUAAAUGGUUUGCUUGCCCAGAAGAUCAUGAACGUCUUGGUUCCUGUUGGUUUGGGAUAAAGAAAUGCUGUCUGCGUGGAUGGUGGGCUGAAGGACAUGGGUGGACAAGGAGCCCAGAGAUUUAAAUAAAGGGCUGACUAUAACUCUGAAA